RNAcentral lists this ribosomal RNA (526 nucleotides) under uncultured Actinomycetes bacterium. RNAcentral's name for it is "bacterial SSU rRNA". It matches the Rfam family "Bacterial small subunit ribosomal RNA", at positions 8 to 522 of the family's 1533-position model. Lineage: Bacteria; Bacillati; Actinomycetota; Actinomycetes. The record is from RNAcentral.
AGAGUUUGAUCAUGGCUCAGGACGAACGCUGGCGGCGCGCUUAACACAUGCAAGUCGAGCGAGAACCAGGGCUUCGGCCCUGGGGAAAGCGGCGAACGGGUGAGUAACACGUGAGUCAUCCACCCUCGGUACCGGGAUAGCCCGGGGAAACCCGGAUUAAUACCGGAUGGCCCAACAGCUCUUCGGGGCGGUUGGAAAAGGUAGCUUCGGCCUCCGACCGAGGACGAGCUCGCGGCGGAUUAGCUUGUUGGCGGGGUAACGGCCCACCAAGGCGACGAUCCGUAGCUGGUCUGAGAGGACGAUCAGCCACACUGGGACUGAGACACGGCCCAGACUCCUACGGGAGGCAGCAGUGGGGAAUCUUGCGCAAUGGGCGAAAGCCUGACGCAGCGACGCCGCGUGCGGGAAGAAGGCCUUCGGGUUGUAAACCGCUUUCAGGAGGGACGAAGCCACUCGGGUUAAUAGCCCAGAGGGUGACGGUACCUCCAGAAGAAGCCCGGCUAACUACGUGCCAGCAGCCGCGGUA